This 1280-nucleotide small RNA is filed under the name uncultured Antarctic cyanobacterium. RNAcentral describes it as "bacterial SSU rRNA". The stretch from base 1 to 762 matches the Rfam family "Bacterial small subunit ribosomal RNA", at positions 772 to 1533 of the family's 1533-position model. The record is from RNAcentral. Lineage: Bacteria; Bacillati; Cyanobacteriota.
AUGGGAUUAGAUACCCCAGUAGUCCUAGCCGUAAACGAUGGAUACUAGGUGUAGCUUGUAUCGACCCAAGCUGUGCCGUAGCUAACGCGUUAAGUAUCCCGCCUGGGGAGUACGCGCGCAAGCGUGAAACUCAAAGGAAUUGACGGGGGCCCGCACAAGCGGUGGAGUAUGUGGUUUAAUUCGAUGCAACGCGAAGAACCUUACCAGGACUUGACAUGUCGCGAAUCUUACUGAAAGGUAGGAGUGCCUUAGGGAGCGCGAACACAGGUGGUGCAUGGCUGUCGUCAGCUCGUGUCGUGAGAUGUUGGGUUAAGUCCCGCAACGAGCGCAACCCUCGUUUUUAGUUGCCAUCAUUAAGUUGGGCACUCUAGAGAGACUGCCGGUGACAAACCGGAGGAAGGUGGGGAUGACGUCAAGUCAGCAUGCCCCUUACGUUCUGGGCUACACACGUACUACAAUGCUACGGACAAAGGGUAGCAAGACAGCGAUGUCAAGCCAAUCCCAUAAACCGUGGCUCAGUUCAGAUUGCAGGCUGCAACUCGCCUGCAUGAAGGCGGAAUCGCUAGUAAUCGCAGGUCAGCACUACUGCGGUGAAUACGUUCCCGGGCCUUGUACACACCGCCCGUCACACCAUGGAAGCUGGCUUAGCCCGAAGUCGUUACCCUAACUGUAAGGAGGGGGAUGCCGAAGGCAGGGCUGGUGACUGGGGUGAAGUCGUAACAAGGUAGCCGUACCGGAAGGUGUGGCUAGAUCACCUCCUUUUAGGGAGACCUUACCCUUCUAACUCUGAAUUGAGUAAGAGUAGAUAGAGGUUAUCUCAAGGUCGGUCGAGGUUAUAUGUGUUAGCUUCCAAAUUUUGCUCUGGUUUUAAUUAACCAGUACGGGCUAUUAGCUCAGAUGGUUAGAGCGCACCCCUGAUAAGGGUGAGGUCCCUGGUUCGAGUCCAGGAUGGCCCACCUUUGCUAUCGCUAGGGGGUUUAGCUCAGUUGGUAGAGCGCCUGCUUUGCAAGCAGGAUGUCAGCGGUUCGAGUCCGCUAACCUCCACUGAUAAAUUUCAGCAACUCAUGAUGUCUAACAGAGACUUCAUAGCCUGCUGGAUAUUUUAUCCAGUCAGAACCUAGAAAACUGCAUAAAGAUUAGUCAGGUAAGUAGUAACCACUGAAGAUUGAGCAAUCAAUUCUUGUAGUGGCUUUACAGACAAUACCAAACAAAAAUACUUAGAAAUAAGUGGUCAAGCUACAAAGGGCUAAUGGUGGAUACCUWGGCACACAGAGGCGADG